RNAcentral lists this ribosomal RNA (363 nucleotides) under Salmonella enterica subsp. enterica serovar Typhimurium. Its description in RNAcentral is "bacterial SSU rRNA". It matches the Rfam family "Bacterial small subunit ribosomal RNA", at positions 357 to 737 of the family's 1533-position model. The record is from RNAcentral. Lineage: Bacteria; Pseudomonadati; Pseudomonadota; Gammaproteobacteria; Enterobacterales; Enterobacteriaceae.
GGGAAUAUUGGACAAUGGGCGCAAGCCUGAUCCAGCCAUGCCGCGUGAGUGAUGACGGCCUUAGGGUUGUAAAGCUCUUUCAACGGUGAAGAUAAUGACGGUAACCGUAGAAGAAGCCCCGGCUAACUUCGUGCCAGCAGCCGCGGUAAUACGAAGGGGGCUAGCGUUGUUCGGAAUUACUGGGCGUAAAGCGCACGUAGGCGGAUACUUAAGUCAGGGGUGAAAUCCCGGGGCUCAACCCCGGAACUGCCUUUGAUACUGGGUAUCUAGAGUAUGGUAGAGGUGAGUGGAAUUCCGAGUGUAGAGGUGAAAUUCGUAGAUAUUCGGAGGAACACCAGUGGCGAAGGCGGCUCACUGGACCAU